UCGAGGAUCUUCGGCAAUGGGCGAAAGCCUGACCGAGCGACGCCGCGUGUGCGAUGAAGGCCUUCGGGUUGUAAAGCACUGUCGAGGGAGAGAAAAGCCGCAAGGUUUGAUCGAUCUCUGGAGGAAGCACGGGCUAAGUUCGUGCCAGCAGCCGCGGUAAGACGAACCGUGCGAACGUUGUUCGGAAUCACUGGGCUUAAAGGGUGCGUAGGCGGGCGAGUAAGUCAGGGGUGAAAUCCCACGGCCCAACCGUGGAAGUGCCUCUGAUACUGCGAGUCUAGAGGGAAACAGGGGCAUGCGGAACUUCCGGUGGAGCGGUGAAAUGCGUAGAUAUCGGAAGGAACACCGGUAGCGAAAGCGGCGUGCUGGAUUUCUACUGACGCUGAGGCACGAAAGCCAGGGGAGCAAACGG
This 412-nucleotide ribosomal RNA is filed under the name uncultured bacterium. RNAcentral's name for it is "bacterial SSU rRNA". It matches the Rfam family "Bacterial small subunit ribosomal RNA", at positions 355 to 775 of the family's 1533-position model. The record is from RNAcentral.